AAGUCGGUUUAGAUUGAUUUGGUUCACUUUCUGCCCAUAACAACGGCAGACGACGCCCCCCCCCCCCCUUUAGCCAAGCUCCUCGUGGCGAACGAAACCCUAAUCAUCACUCCUUGUGCACUUUUCCUCCUCUCUCGAAUUCGAUUCGGAAGCUCCUUGAUUCGCUCUCUGGAUUCGAUUCGAUUCGAUUCGUAAUCCGCCAUGGAUGCUCAACGAGCUCUGUUGGACGAACUUAUGGGCGCAGCUCGUAAUCUGACGGACGAAGAGAGAAGAGGAUUCAAGGAGAUUAAGUGGGAUGACAGAGAGGUCUGCGCUUUCUACAUGGUUCGAUUUUGUCCUCAUGACCUCUUCGUCAACACCAAAAGCGAUCUUGGUGCGUGCUCGAGGAUUCAUGAUCCCAAGCUCAAAGAGAGCUUUGAGAACUCUCCAAGGCAUGAUUCCUAUGUUCCUAAGUUCGAGGCUGAGCUUGUUCAGUUUUGCGAGAAGCUGGUGAAUGAUCUUGACAGGAAGGUAAGGCGUGGACAAGAACGCCUUGCCCAAGAGCUUGAACCUCCUCCUCCACCUUCUCUAUCUGGAGAGAAAGCUGAGCAGCUCGCUGUUUUGGAGGAGAAGAUUAAGAACCUUCUCGAACAAGUGGAAGCACUUGGUGAAGAAGGCAAAGUCGAUGAAGCUGAAGCCCUGAUGAGGAAGGUGGAAGGGCUUAAUACUGAGAAGGCAAUGUUGAUACAGCGACCAAAUGACAAGGUACUAGCGAUGGUACAAGAGAAGAAGAUGGCACUGUGUGAUGUUUGUGGUUCAUUCCUUGUCUCUAAUGAUGCUGUAGAAAGGACUCAGUCUCAUGUCACUGGGAAGCAGCAUGUUGGCUAUGGCAUGGUCCGGGAUUUUCUUGCUGAACAGAAGGCUGCUAAAGAUAAAGGAAGGGAAGAAGACAGGCUAGUCAGAGGGAAAGAAACAGAUGAUAAGAGGAAACCCAGGGAGAGGGAAAGCGAGAGUAGGAGGAGUGGUUCUAGGGAAAGAGAAAGACACCGUGAUCAUCGGGAUAGAGACAGAGAUGUGGACAGACACAGAGACCGUGGUAGAGAUCAUAGAAAGCCUUAUGACAGGAGAUCCAGGAGUGGGAGAGACGGUCGUGACCGAAGCAGGUCACGCUCUCCCCGUGGAAGGUCUGGUCACAGAAGGGUGUCGAGAAGUCCGGUUCGCCAGUACUAGUUUGAGAGACAACGUGUUGUCUCUUAUGUCUUGGGGCCUGGAACUUUGCAAACUCAUGAGGUAGAACUUGCGACUUUCUACUAAGUUUCAUUGGCAUGUGUGUUUUCUUUUUUAGAACUUGUUAAAAUUUGAAGGAUGAAAAUUGUCUUUCUACCCGUUCAGACAGCUAUUGUAAGAGUUUAAGACCUUUACCCAACCUCCAUCAGUUAUUUGUUAAGAGGUCAAAAGCGUUGAGACUACAGAAUCUAGUGGGCUCGAAUGACAGAUGCUAUAUUGAGGUAACAUUUAUACAAAACAGAAGUCAUAUUUAUUAGAGGUUGGGUUCAGUAAUUCUGUUUAUUCUUCGAGUUCUCUGUCUACACAUUUUGUGCUAGAGCAAUGUCAUAAAACGAGGAAGAUCUGCAUAUGUGUGAAGCAUUGUUUGAUGAUACCCUCAUGGAGCAUAUUGAUGGUCGUGGCUAUACCACAUUCUCCGCUAUUAUAUCAACCUUUUAGUCAUUUUUCAUCAAAUUAUUUCAUUGAGUCAUCGAUGAGAGGUUCAAAACAUUUGGACAACCAGAUGUUUGUGGACAUUAUUCGUCAUGCAACUAUGUUCGGGGUUAGUUAGACUUCCUGGAUUUUCAAAGCAAGACACAAGUCAAAUUCAUAGAUGGCGAAAAAAUAGAUCUAAUUAGCUGUUGUUUUGGUUCUCCUUUCUGGAAUCAGUCCACUAUUAUAUGUUUUAGUUUGAAGUGUAUCUCGUUUCUUCUUUGUUUAAAGAGGUAAAAUAAAUAGACCUUCAAUACC
This is an RNA transcript of Brassica napus (rape), 1995 nucleotides long. It is a transcript of the gene named luc7-like protein 3, with no coding region annotated. The transcript is spliced from 8 exons. The record is from RefSeq and is a predicted model, not a curated record. Lineage: Eukaryota; Viridiplantae; Streptophyta; Magnoliopsida; Brassicales; Brassicaceae.